RNAcentral lists this ribosomal RNA (452 nucleotides) under uncultured bacterium. RNAcentral describes it as "bacterial SSU rRNA". It matches the Rfam family "Bacterial small subunit ribosomal RNA", at positions 328 to 794 of the family's 1533-position model. The record is from RNAcentral.
GAACCAGACUCCUACGGGAGGCAGCAGUGGGGAAUAUUGCACAAUGGGCGAAAGCCUGAUGCAGCAACGCCGCGUGAAGGAAGAAGGGUUUCGGCUCGGAAACUUCUAUCAACAGGAACGAAAGAAAUGACGGUACCUGAAUAAGAAGCCCCGGCUAACUACGUGCCAGCAGCCGCGGUAAUACGUAGGGGGCAAGCGUUAUCCGGAAUUACUGGGUGUAAAGGGUGAGUAGGCGGCAUGGUAAGCCAGAUGUGAAAGCCUUGGGCUUAACCCGAGGAUUGCAUUUGGAACUAUCAAGCUAGAGUACAGGAGAGGAAAGCGGAAUUCCUAGUGUAGCGGUGAAAUGCGUAGAUAUUAGGAGGAACACCAGUGGCGAAGGCGGCCUGCUGGGCUUUUACUGACGCUGAGGCUCGAAAGUGUGGGGAGCAAACAGGAUUAGAUACCCGAGUAAC